This is a long non-coding RNA of Gasterosteus aculeatus aculeatus (three-spined stickleback), 2197 nucleotides long. Lineage: Eukaryota; Metazoa; Chordata; Actinopteri; Perciformes; Gasterosteidae. The record is from Ensembl.
CACAGACCGUAAUACAGCGCAGAUGAACAUGAUUCAGACUACGGCGUUUAUAUGUUCAACAAUAGCAAACGUAGUCUUAGCUGUUUUAAAAUUACACCAAGUUUAUUUCGGAUUAUUCCAACGGAAGAAUACAAGGCGCAGGGAAGUUUGAGGAAUGUUGAAGGGCUGCAGCUCGCAUGCUGCAGCGUGGCGGUUCAUUGAGUUUCUGAUUGACAGCGUGGGAGAGAAGAUGUCGUCUGUCGCCCAGCAGCAGAGAGAACGAACAGACAUUCGUAACUCUGGAGUUGCACUUGACUGCGUCAUUAGAGACGCUCACACGUCCCGAUGAACUUGGGGUUUGAAUUUGCUUUAUUUGUAGAGAAUUUAACUUGUUUGUGCUUUGAGUUGCCUGACAUCAUUUUUUAGAAGCAUUAAUCAAAAUGUUCCAUAUCGGAAACAUGUUCAUUGACUAAAUAUUCUCUUCUUCUUCCGCCUGAUGUCUGAUUACAGGAGGAAGUGAGUCAACAAUUGAAAUCAGGCUUAAAAUGUCGACUGAAACCUUUGUGUGUCAUUUAAUACACAAACGCUCAUUAACUCAAGAUCAUUGUUGUUUCACUUCAUUCAAGUAAACAAGUAAUAAAGAACAUGUGAUUCUCUUUGGUCUGAAGAAAACAAGACGGAUUCAUUUGGUUUUAUUUUUAUUAAAAGUAUUUUCAUUGUUAAAAUAAUAAACAGACGACAUAUUUAACAAUAAUAAUAACACAAUCAUUGGGAAAAUAUCUGAAGCAGUUCCUGAAAAGAGAGAAAAGAAAAGUUAUUAACAUGUUAAUGUUGUUAGUGUGUCUGUGUGUACAUCUAAAUGUUAGUGUGUCUGUGUGUACAUCUAAAUGUUAGUGUGUCUGUGUACGUCUAAAUGUUAGUGUGUCUGUGUGUACAUCUAAAUGUUAGUGUGUCUGUGUGUACAUCUAAAUGUUAGUGUGUCUGUGUGUACAUCUAAAUGUUAGUGUGUCUGUGUACGUCUAAAUGUUAGUGUGUCUGUGUGUACAUCUAAAUAUUAAUGUCUUUGUGUACAUCUAAAUAUUAGUGUGUGUCUUUGUUUAGUACCAAAUGUUAGUGUGUGUCUUUGUGUACAUCUAAGUGUUAGUGUGUGUCUUUGUUUAGAACCAAAUGUUAGUGUGUCUGUGUGAACAUCUAAUUGUUAGUGUGUCCCGAUGACGUAGCGUGCUGAUGGCGUCUUGUUGGUCUGCAGACAAGGAGAAGAGACGUGAGGAGGAUCAUCAGGAUGUGUCCGUGUGUACAUCUAAUUGUUAGUGGGUCUGUGUGUACAUUAAAAUAUUAAAGUGUCUUUGUGCAGAACCAGAUGUUUGUGUGUUUUAGUUUACUUCUGAAUACUAAUGUGUCUUUGUGUACAUCUAAAUAUUAGUGUGUGUCUUUGUUUAGAACCAAAUGAUAGUGUGUCUGUGUGUACAUCUAAUUGUUAGGCGUCCUGAUGGCGUCCCGAUGACGUGGCGUCCUGAUGGCGUCCUGAUGGCGUCCCGAUGACGUGGCGUCCUGAUGGCGUCCCGAUGACGUGGCAUCCUGAUGGCGUCCUGAUGACGUAGCGUCCCGAUGACGUGGCGUCCUGAUGGCGUCCCGAUGACGUGGCGUCCUGAUGGCGUCCCGAUGACGUGGCAUCCUGAUGGCGUCCUGAUGACGUAGCGUCCCGAUGACGUGGCGUCCUGAUGGUGUCCUGAUGACGUAGCGUCCCGAUGACGUGGCGUCCUGAUGGCGUCCCGAUGACGUCCUGUUGGUCUGCAGACAAGGAGAAGAGACGCGUCCUGAUGGCGUCCCGAUGACGUGGCGUCCUGAUGGCGUCCUGUUGGUCUGCAGACAAGGAGAAGAGACGUGAGGAGGAUCAUCAGGAUACUCCUGAGGCCAUGGUUGCUUUCUGCAAGUGUAGGUCCGGAAAACUUCAGUGUGUAGAUGCGAGGUUUGAAACUGACUGACUGGAUGUGCAACAGACUGUGUUCUUAUGCUGUGGUGAACGGAGCAUAGAACAUAGAACAUGGAACAUGGAACAUGGAGAAAUGUUCCAUCAUGAUGUAACGUCUCUAUGGUUACAGUGAAGGUAUCUACAACAUGCAAAUGAGCCUUUAGAGUAAAUGUGUGUGUGUAUUUGUAUUGAUGGAGCUCAUCCACUUGACAUGGUGAAUAAAACACUUUGCUCUACUUGUUUUUU